Megachile rotundata (alfalfa leafcutting bee) is the source of this 4945-nucleotide long non-coding RNA. RefSeq lists it as uncharacterized. Lineage: Eukaryota; Metazoa; Arthropoda; Insecta; Hymenoptera; Megachilidae. The record is from RefSeq and is a predicted model, not a curated record.
ACAUAAAAAAUUAAUUUCUUUCAAAUUUAAUCAAUCAUGCUAAUCGAAUUAUUGAUCACGCUAAACAUAUUGCAGCGUUUUUAUACGUUCAAUGAAAAAAAACGGAAGCAUUUAAUAAAUUUGUCAUGUAUAAAACAUAACGUAAUAAUGAACAUUCGUCAAAGCUUAUUAAACGCACACGUGUUACCUUGUCUCUGGCGAAAGUAAUUAAUUCAAAACAUUGCGUCAAUGUUGCCUGACAUUUCAUGUUGUUUUUUACAAAAGAGCGUGUGAAUCACGCUUUUAAUCCAACUCCAUAUUUUAAUCAAACAUUAAAAUUCACGUACAUCUGGAAACGUGUUUGCUCGUACCACGAUCGACGUACAAUAUCAAUUUUUAUGUAUCUAUCGUGGGUAAAUUAGAUGAAAAUAAAACUAGGUCGAUGAUAGGUUAUGUCGAGGAAAAAGAAAUUUUAUUUAGCAACGCAAAGUGGGAUUUGGUUGAUCAUCUGAUUGAGCAGGAAAACGUUAUCUAUGUACCACACGUUUCAUGCCACGUGAAUUAAGCUGUACACGUUUGAAAACCGCAUUAUAUUUGCCUUCAGUUUUAACGGUUACAUCUCGAAAUAGACACGAUAAAAAAAUUCCUUUCAUCAGUCUAUUACGUGCAGGCUUUUCAAACGUAAUUUUACCCUGACUGAAUAACACCGAUCUGCAUGAAGUGUAAUUUUAACCCAACUGCCAAUGUGUUAAUUAGUAUUGUACACUCACAAGUAUAACAGACUACUCUCCGUUUAAGGGGAAAAGUCACACUGCUGACGCAAUUUGACAAACUUGCAUCGUGUUUAGUACUCUCGAAUUUUAAGGUUAGUUCUAAUUAUAAUUUACGCUGUUAUCCUUACGUUAAAAUACUUUCGUUGCAUUCCACAUUUUCCUUUUAUAUUUAAUUCACAGUUGAUUGAAUUAGUGAAAGAGCAAACAUUUUUCGAACUAUUCAAAUUUGGCGUCAAUUUGAAGAUAACGAAUUUCAACGUUCGCACACCUGUCAAGUUUUAUACUCGACCUUACAAAAUUAUAUUCUAAAACGGAUAAAUUAUUUUUAACGCGAUUUAUACUACGUAGUGAAGGUAAAAAGGUCAUAGAUUGUUUGGGUAUUGUAAAAGGAGGUCGAUGCAAAGAAGUUAGGAAACAGUUGCGAACGAUUGCGUUAAUAUUCGAUAAUUAUGGCAAAACAGAUUCUUUGAAAUGUUUGUUGAAAAACAUUGUUUAUCUUUAAUUAUUCGCUGGCUGCGGGGGAAGCUUCUUUCCCCUACAUUUUCUGUUGGCCGAAGAGAAGCCUGUUAUGGUGUGCCACGUGGUACGGAACGCGUUAGUAGUGAAGGAAUUGGAAUACAGCUUCCUAUGCGUUACACAAUUACGAGUAUUCAUCGUUUUCCGACUACACAGCCGCGAAUGUUCUGCAUUCCACCGAAGAAUUGAAUAGCAAUGUUAUCGUCCGAUUAUAGGAAAUCGUUUCUAUUAACAGCGUCUUGAAAGCUUUCGUUCGAAGAAUUUCAUUCAGUCGUAUUUUCAUUCAUCGUCAAUAAACUUCUCAUUUAAAUCGUUUUAAUUAACUGGAACGUAGAUCUAUACCUGCGAUCUAAGGAGAGAUUUUUAAUCAAACGCUACUUUGAUGUAGAACUUUCUUUACAAGAUAAUAUUGAGGUUAGUACAUUUUAUAUAUUUAUUUUUGAAGUCAUCAACCUGCUUACAGUUGAGAAUUCACUGCAAUUUUAGUGCAAUGUCAAAAUCGCAAAUUUUUAAUUUGAAGUUGCGAGUUUACAGAUUUGUAAAUUUAGAGAUUUAUAUUUAAAAAUUCUCCAAUCUGCUAACAGCAAAUAUAAAAAUUGACCGUGAAAUAUUAACACUUAACGGAUGUUUUUUCUCUUUCUCGGUUUCCCGGCAUUUAAGAGGAUUAAAUAGACAUGUAUGCAUGGUUUUAAACCGUUGCCGAUUUAUCGAAUCAACACUAUUUUACCAAGCUAUUUACACGUCUACUACUCAAGACUUGCUAUUUUCACAAAAUUGCGCAGGAAAUCUGCGCAGUAGGUUCAACGGACAGAUGGUACAACUAACGGUAACAAAAACUACCCAUUGUGUAUAAAAAUAAAAAACUAAAGCAGUUUGAUAAAAGUCCUCGCAAAAAUGUGGUCCACGAGAAUGGAGAAUUUACAUUGGUCUUAGAAAGUAAGAAUGGAAAAACGUGAGUAGUGAGUAGUCCGUUAAGAAUAUUGGAACAUAGGUAUACGAACGUUAGAGUGCAUGAUCAAGAAAUAUCGACAAGGAUCUCACCAUGAUCACGGAUGAUUCGUACAGUGCUGCCACCCGUCAGGGAAACGGGAGAUUCCCGCGACAGGCAAAUGAGUCACGCGUACUCGCUGGCUCUCGCGUCUGACGUAGCGUCCUUCCUCUUUCCUCGGUCAGACAAACCGACACUCUCAUCCACGCUAGUCUGACGAAGCGCCAACAUUUCCCCUCUCCCUGCGAGCGUCUUCUCCGAGAACGAGGCUCACACGGAGACGGUCGCCAGCUCCCCGCUGCGUCCCCGGGAGACGACAAGACUCGGUUUAGCUCGCCUUGCCAACCACGAGGAAACCCCGAGCCUUUCCCUCUUUGCACCGCCUACCAACUGUUUCGUCUCCUCUUCCCCGUUCCUCGCCUGACCAAGCUUCUACGACCGAAGCAGUAAACUCGACGCAGAUUCGCGUCGUUCCGAGUUGCGCCGCUUCGAUGGAGCGGUGAACGGGUGAUUAGGUCACGCACCCCGUGCGUCGCCGUCUAUAUGCCCUAGGCCGUUCACGGCCGUGUGUCCACGGAAUUCCCCGUUGUUUUUCGAGAGGCACGAUCUACUCGCUAUACCUAUUAUACCAGCUCUCCCGGCUACGCUUUUCUAUAUAACACACUGUGCUGUCUAUAGAACGCGCAACUAGCAUGAUUCACGAGGCCCGUGCUACAGACGGAGCUGCUGCUAUUGGUAAUCGAUAAAUUAUCGACGUCUUAUCGAUACCGCAGACGUACGGAAUAUGUGGACCUAUUAUCCGAUGUAUUUUUCUUGUGGUUAUACGAGUUGCUGCUAAGCUCGUGUCAACUUUGUCGAAAACAUACGUCAUAGCUCGGUAAUUUCGCAAUUUGACAGUCUUAGUUUUUAUGCAGUUUCGAUAUUAUUUUAUUUUUUAACUGUUUCAUUUUUUGAUUGUCAUUACUUUUAAUUAUGCUGGGGCAUGAUUCAAGUUUUAUUUUAUACUAAACGGUGUUUAGUACCCUAUUUAAAAAAAACCGCGACACAUGCGCAGUAGUCCAUCAGUUACAAGCUGUCAUUUCUGUACUUCGGAUGGUCAUGUUUCGAAUAUUUCCAAGUUUUCUUGUUGUGUACUUUCAAUUUCUAGGUCCAAGAUUUUUUUGUUCACAGUUCUUGAGGCUUUAGUGAUUCAGUAUAUUCUAUCCUUAACUUCUGGUCGAGAUCCACAAAGGAACACAAAGUAACGAUUUUUACUGUGGUUAUGUACAUGGAUUUUGACCGUUGCCGCCAUUUUUCGGACUCUGAUUAAAUGUUCUGGAGCUGCAUUUCUAUAAAUUGCUGUAAAAAUAGCAAUUUAAUCACUGUGAUUGGAAAAAAAUGAAUAGUAAUAAUAUAUUGACCACUACUCAUGAGUAGAGAACGUUCGCAUGUAGGUUGAUAUGGCAGUCGAGCAUGAGACACGAAAGUCCAUAAGGUGAAAUGUCUCCUCGUAAAACUCGUCUAUGUUGAUACUGAACGAAAUAGUGAUGAUGUUAAGAUGUCGUUAGGGUUAAUGGCAGCGAUUGAGGUAGAAUGUGAACCAUAGCUGUAUCUUUAUGAAUUGUUUCGUGGAUCGAAAAAUAAUAAAAUACAGUCUGAAUUGAGAUUUAAACGAUUAUUAAAAAAUCGACCUUUUCCCAUACGAGUUCGGAAUUCUUGUAUAACACCAGCAAAAGCUACGUAAUAAUAAAGAAUUUUGCCGACCUCGUGUAUCAACAGUUUCCUGCAAACGCAAAUACUAUAAGUGAUGAUUAUGAAGAGUGGCUUUACCAGGAAAUUUCCACAAUGGUUAAAGACACUCAAGUAUGCUGGCAGAUUACCGCUGGACAUUAAAGAUACUCCACAGAUAAAGCACAAGCUAAAAAUAAAGCACGUUUCGCGAUUUCGUCAAUAAAAGUCACUUUUCUUUUUUUUGUCCGUUUUCGUAUCGCAUUUCACCACAUCUGGGAUAAAAAUGUAAUUAGAAAAAUUGAUCAGUCAUAUCAAAUAUUAGAAGAUCUUACUUAUUUAAUCUUUUGGACUUGAGUAUUAGAUUCUUUUUUUUAAAUAGUUAUCACAGUUCAUAGUUUUGCACUGUGCUGACCUUCUUGGUCUUCUUAAUAUGUAUAUAAAAUAUUAUUGAUAAUAUUAUAUUCAUAACGAAAGAUUAAACAAAUUUCAUCAGAAAUUCUCUGUUGGUGACUUAACAGCGUUCAGUGUACGGUUUGAUGACGAAACGCUACUUGUGAAUGGAUGAUUAAGUCAUAAAGUCCUGCGCAAUAGUAGGACAUUCAUAGCCAACAUCGUUCAUUGUUUACGAACGUUUUAUCCGUUAUCGUAAUUAAAAAGCAUCUUACCAGCAUAUUAAAAUUAAACGUUGCACAUUUAUUCAGCUAUUACGUUCUAACUAUGUAACUUCAGAAGCAAUAUUUCUCAAGUUGAAAAGGAAAUUACUCAUUUUUUUUUUUGUGAUUUUACUUAUUUUAAAUUGGUUGCAAUUAUGUAAAAAUUGUGAGAAUAUUAAUUAUAUACAAGACAUGAUGUCCAUAUAUAUGGACAUAAUUAAAUACAUAAUGAGUCACCAUUCUUGGAAAGACUAACUCAUAAUCAAUUUGCAGAUAUGAUUUAAAUACAAUGUUUUGUACUUUGACUUAUAUUAAAUAAUUGUAAA